Molecule: ribosomal RNA, 253 nt
Filed under: uncultured bacterium
Lineage: Bacteria
Description: partial 16S ribosomal RNA
Rfam family: Bacterial small subunit ribosomal RNA
Source: RNAcentral
UACGUAGGGGGCAAGCGUUGUCCGGAUUUAUUGGGCGUAAAGAGCGUGUAGGCGGCUUUGCAAGUCCGUUGUGAAAACUCGAGGCUCAACCUCGAGACGCCGGUGGAAACUGCAAAGCUAGAGUCCGGAAGAGGAGAGUGGAAUUCCUGGUGUAGCGGUGGAAUGCGCAGAUAUCAGGAGGAACACCGAUGGCGAAGGCAGAUCUCUGGGCCGUAACUGACGCUGAGGAGCGAAAGCGUGGGGAGCGAACAGG